UUUUCAUAUUUCACAUUGGAUCUCAAAAUGAUAAUCAAUUAAUGAUGUUGUCAUUCAUAAAUUUUGCCAAUUUUUCUUCCUACCGCAAAAAUUGACAAGUUAGCUGCAGAAAUUGUGAUUUAUGAAUCCAAUGAGAAGAUGCUUUAAACUUACUCAAAACUCUGGAGAACAUUUUACAAGAAGUGCUUUGUGCAUUCCAUUGCAUUAUCUAUUCAAAAUGAUAUUCCUAUUCUCACCCAAGAAGCUAUUGUCAGUAAAAACAAUUAUGCAUCAAUUCCAUCUAUUCAAGAUGAUAUUCUUAUUCUCACCCAAGAAGAGGGUUGCCAUGUCUCCCCCCAUCAGUGGGAGUCUCCCACAAUUUUUUAGUUUACCCACAUACAUCUCACUCCCACAAAACUCCCACAAUUAGAAAUCUCCCACAAAAAGCUCCCACAAUUUUUUAAUUUAUCCCACAAUUUUUUUUUUAGCAUUUUAAUGUUUUUAAUAUAUAAAUAAUAUUUUGA
Long non-coding RNA from Gordionus sp. m RMFG-2023, 503 nucleotides. RefSeq lists it as uncharacterized. The record is from RefSeq and is a predicted model, not a curated record. The transcript is spliced from 4 exons. NCBI's taxonomy places the organism in Eukaryota, Metazoa, Nematomorpha, Gordioida, Chordodea, Parachordodidae.